GAUGAACGCUGGCGGCGUGCCUAAUACAUGCAAGUCGAGCGAACAGAUAAGGAGCUUGCUCCUUUGACGUUAGCGGCGGACGGGUGAGUAACACGUGGGUAACCUACCUAUAAGACUGGGAUAACUUCGGGAAACCGGAGCUAAUACCGGAUAACAUUUGGAACCGCAUGGUUCUAAAGUGAAAGAUGGUUUUGCUAUCACUUAUAGAUGGACCCGCGCCGUAUUAGCUAGUUGGUAAGGUAACGGCUUACCAAGGCGACGAUACGUAGCCGACCUGAGAGGGUGAUCGGCCACACUGGAACUGAGACACAGUCCAGACUCCUACGGGAGGCAGCAGUAGGGAAUCUUCCGCAAUGGGCGAAAGCCUGACGGAGCAACGCCGCGUGAGUGAUGAAGGGUUUCGGCUCGUAAAACUCUGUUAUUAGGGAAGAACAAACGUGUAAGUAACUGUGCACGUCUUGACGGUACCUAAUCAGAAAGCCACGGCUAACUACGUG
RNAcentral lists this ribosomal RNA (497 nucleotides) under uncultured bacterium. RNAcentral describes it as "partial 16S ribosomal RNA". It matches the Rfam family "Bacterial small subunit ribosomal RNA", at positions 28 to 507 of the family's 1533-position model. The record is from RNAcentral.